AUGAAGAAGAACGACGUCUACGAGCGCGGGGAGAGAGGGGAAAGAGAGGGGUUUGACGCAGCUGCUUAUGGUGCAGCUCACGGUGGCCCUUGGAGGUUUAGGAAUGCAGCGGGUUCGCCGGAGACGACGCCGGUCGCCGGUGGCAACCCUCCCUCGCUUCAUCCCCACCGCGCUUCCACCCCCCGUCCGUCCAUCACCGCAACUCCUCUCCUCGCCGCCACUCCUCUUCUCCGGCGAGGCCAGGAAGAGAAGGGAGGGCCAGAGGAGAGGAGGGAUCCCGAGCCAAGAGAUCCGGAGGUCGCGCGGGACUCUUCGGCGGUCGUCUCCAGGCUCGUGUGGGAGAGGGCCUCGCUGUGCAUGGCCGCCAAGCCGGGGGCGCAAUGCUGUGCGCGGAGGGGACUGUUCGGCGGGUCGUCCAUGUCGUCCGCCGCGCGGACGCAGAAGGUGGCCGACCUCAUCCUCAGCUUCCCUGAGGAGACGCCCGUCGUCGUCCUCUCCUCCAUGGGCAAGACCACCAACAACCUCCUCCUGGCCGGUGAGAAGGCGGUGAGCUGCAGCGCCCCCAAGGCGUCCGAAAUCAACGAGCUCGUCGUCAUCAAGGAGCUCCAUCUUAGGACCUUUGAUGAGCUUGGACACAACAGAGUGAACCCCCAACACCACCUGCUGCCGCAACGUACAACUCCAUUUCCUGGUGUCCUAUCCCUCCCACAGAAAAAGCACCCAAUUUCCAAAAACGCACCCCGGCUUUGCGAAGUAAUUACCUGCGGCUGCCACCCCAAACCCCCGGCCGCCCGCAGCCGCAGGGGUUUCGCCCUCCCACCCCCGCCCCGCCGUCGCCUCCCACCCCCGCCGUCGCGGCCCUCGCCUCCCGCCUCCCGCCUCCCAUCCCCGCCGUCGUCCCCGACCGCGUCCUCCGCCGCCGGCCACUUCCACGGAGCUCACGCGCCAGCAGAUCGACGCCGCCGGGCCCGUCCACCUCGUCUCGCCGCCGCGCAGCAGCUCGUCCCCGGACCGCCCGAACCGCGACGUCCACGAGUUUCUGCGUCCGGCCCCGAGCCAAGAGAUCCGGACAUCUCCAUGGCGACCGCGCUGCGUCUCGCGGCGGUCGCGCGGGACUCUCCGGCGGCCGUCUCCAAGCUCGGGAGGGAGAGGGCCUCGCUGUGCGCCAUCGCUAGGCCGGGUGGGCAAUGCUUUGCGCGGAGGGGGCUGGUGCUCCGCUGCCAGAGCGGGGCAGCCGCAGCGGCGGCAACUAUCAAUAAGGGCGGGGCGGCGGAUGGAGCCGGGGCAGCGGCGGGAUUCACCGUCGUGAUGAAGUUCGGCGGCUCCUCGCUGGCGUCGGCCGCGUGGAUGCGGGAGGUGGCCGACCUCAUCCUGAGCUUCCCCGAGGAGACGCCCGUCGUCGUCCUCUCCGCCAUGGGGAAGACCACCAACAACCUCCUCCUGGCCGGAGAGAAGGCGGUGAGCUGCGGCGCUACCAAGGCGUCAGAAAUCAACGAGCUCGCCGUCAUCAAAAAGCUCCAUCUUAGGACCAUUGAUGAGCUUGGACUAGAUAGCUCGAUUGUUUCAGGUUUCUUGGACGAAUUGGAGCAACUACUUAAGGGUGUUGCUAUGAUGAAAGAGCUGACUCUUAGGACACGAGAUUACCUUGUUUCCUUUGGUGAAUGCAUGUCUACAAGAAUAUUUUCUGCAUAUUUGAAUAAACUUGGGAAGAAGGCACGACAGGAUGUAGCGAUUCGCGGGAAGGACUACAUGAUCAGGGGGCAGCAUGCCGCCCUCGCGAAGGCCCUGACUCCGGCGUGA
Molecule: ribosomal RNA, 1800 nt
Filed under: Triticum aestivum (bread wheat)
Lineage: Eukaryota; Viridiplantae; Streptophyta; Magnoliopsida; Poales; Poaceae
Description: partial small subunit ribosomal RNA
Source: RNAcentral